UACGUAGGGGGGCAAGCGUUGUCCGGAUUCAUUGGGCGUAAAGAGCGUGUAGGCGGCCAGGUAGGUCGGUUGUGAAAACUGGAGGCUCAACCUUCAGACGUCGACCGAAACCAUCUGGCUAGAGUCCGGGAGAGGAGAGUGGAAUUCCCGGUGUAGCGGUGAAAUGCGCAGAUAUCGGGAAGAACACCCGUGGCGAAGGCGGCUCUCUGGGACGGUACUGACGCUGAGACGCGAAAGCGUGGGGAGCGAACAGG
RNAcentral lists this ribosomal RNA (254 nucleotides) under uncultured bacterium. RNAcentral's name for it is "partial 16S ribosomal RNA". It matches the Rfam family "Bacterial small subunit ribosomal RNA", at positions 524 to 776 of the family's 1533-position model. The record is from RNAcentral.